AUGUCGCCCUCUUCCCCUACGCUAGACGCUCCGGGAACCGCAGCGGCGUCGUCGUCGUCGUCGUGCUUCGCUCUAGCAUGGCACGUAUGGAGCGUAUGCGCGCUCCACGUCGCGCUCGUCCUCUCCUCCGUGGCCGCCGCCGCCCUCAUCGUCGUGCUCCUCCCCUUCGCCUGCACGGCCGCCUCCCUCUGGCUCGUCUGCGCGAUCGCGGCGCGGUUCCUCUCGUGCUCCGCCUCCUUCGCGCCGCUGGAUUGGACGGCACAGCACGCCGACGGCGACGACGCGUACUCGUGUGAAGAGGGGGAGGAGCAAGGCGGGGGAGCGGAGCUGGAAACACGCGGCCGAGAGUGCGCCGCUGCUUACAUCGAUGGAGCCCACGAGUCCAUCGAUCCUUACAUUGAUGAGCAAGAUCGUCGGUUUCUGUUGGUGGACACUGGGAACUACUACUACUGCAAAAAGUUCUACGAUCUCCUGGCUUUCUGGAGACGCAAAGAGAGAGACUGGAGAAGGUGA
RNAcentral lists this ribosomal RNA (513 nucleotides) under Triticum aestivum (bread wheat). RNAcentral's name for it is "partial small subunit ribosomal RNA". Lineage: Eukaryota; Viridiplantae; Streptophyta; Magnoliopsida; Poales; Poaceae. The record is from RNAcentral.